GCAGUCGAACGGCAGCACGGGAGCAAUCCUGGUGGCGAGUGGCGAACGGGUGAGUAAUAUAUCGGAACGUGCCCAGUCGUGGGGGAUAACGUAGCGAAAGUUACGCUAAUACCGCAUACGAUCUACGGAUGAAAGCGGGGGAUCGCAAGACCUCGCGGGAUUGGAGCGGCCGAUAUCAGAUUAGCUUGUUGGUGGGGUAAAAGCCCACCAAGGCGACGAUCUGUAGCUGGUCUGAGAGGACGACCAGCCACACUGGGACUGAGACACGGCCCAGACUCCUACGGGAGGCAGCAGUGGGGAAUUUUGGACAAUGGGCGCAAGCCUGAUCCAGCAAUGCCGCGUGCAGGAUGAAGGCCUUCGGGUUGUAAACUGCUUUUGUACGGAACGAAACGGUCCUUUCUAAUACAAGGGGCUAAUGACGGUACCGUAAGAAUAAGCACCGGCUAACUACGUGCCAGCAGCCGCGGUAAUACGUAGGGUGCGAGCGUUAAUCGGAAUUACUGGGCGUAAAGCGUGCGCAGGCGGUUUUGUAAGACAGAUGUGAAAUCCCCGGGCUUAACCUGGGACCUGCAUUUGUGACUGCAAGGCUGGAGUACGGUAGAGGGGGAUGGAAUUCCGCGUGUAGCAGUGAAAUGCGUAGAUAUGCGGAG
This 650-nucleotide ribosomal RNA is filed under the name uncultured bacterium. RNAcentral's name for it is "bacterial SSU rRNA". It matches the Rfam family "Bacterial small subunit ribosomal RNA", at positions 57 to 703 of the family's 1533-position model. The record is from RNAcentral.